GCGCGGACCAAUCACAGCUGGCGCUCUGCACGCUGCCACUGCUUUAUCAAGUUUACCUCAGCGCAGAUCGCGCUCCUCCUGUCACUCAAACUGGACUCAGGCUGACCUGCAUGGAUAUUUACACCAACCCAGUGUGGGUAGUUAUUUUUCUUGGGAGAACUCCACAUCGAGGAAAGAGUUUAAAACGAACCCUGUUAGCUCUGGUUGUGCGGCUCUGUGUGAACCACAGGAAUAACUUGUAGUCUUUCUUUCAGAGGAGUUGAGGAGCGGUGAGUGAUUUAUAUUUGUGAACAAAGAAUUAUGCGGCGUUUCCAUCUCAACACGCUGCCCAGCGUGUGGCGCUGUCUGCCCUGUAAAGUUCAUGUCUGUGUUCCUGGUUGGUCGGAGCGUUAGCGGCUAACGAACCAGCGCUAACCUCAUCAUGCAGGCUGAACUUGAUUUU
Poecilia latipinna (sailfin molly) is the source of this 442-nucleotide long non-coding RNA. RefSeq lists it as uncharacterized. The record is from RefSeq and is a predicted model, not a curated record. NCBI's taxonomy places the organism in Eukaryota, Metazoa, Chordata, Actinopteri, Cyprinodontiformes, Poeciliidae. The transcript is spliced from 3 exons.